UAUUUCCGUGAAGUAUACUGAGUUAGAGAAUAAGAGCAAAAAACUGUACUAGUUUUAGCAGUGACUUGAACAUUGUUCCCUGGAGGAAAGAGCUUUUCCAUUCCUUCUGAGGUGAUGCUGCUACUGGUGUCUCCAGUUUGGACUCUUGCUUACUCUCUUGUCCCUAGAGCGGCACUGCAGAGGUGGAGCUGAAGAAGGGAGCCACUCUCAAAAUCACACUGGAUAAUGCCUACAUGGAAAAGUGUGACGAGAACAUCCUAUGGCUGGACUACAAGAACAUCUGCAAGGUGGUGGAAGUGGGCAGCAAGAUCUACGUGGAUGAUGGGCUUAUUUCUCUCCAGGUGAAGCAGAAAGGUGCCGACUUCCUGUUGACGGAGGUGGAAAAUGGUGGCUCCUUGGGCAGCAAGAAGGGUGUGAACCUUCCUGGGGCUGCUGUGGACUUGCCUGCUGUGUCGGAGAAGGACAUCCAGGAUCUGAAGUUUGGGGUCGAGCAGGAUGUUGAUAUGGUGUUUGCGUCAUUCAUCCGCAAGGCAUCUGAUGUCCAUGAAGUUAGGAAGGUCCUGGGAGAGAAGGGAAAGAA
Molecule: small RNA, 580 nt
Filed under: Pongo abelii (Sumatran orangutan)
Lineage: Eukaryota; Metazoa; Chordata; Mammalia; Primates; Hominidae
Description: retained intron
Source: RNAcentral